Molecule: long non-coding RNA, 1659 nt
Organism: Equus caballus (horse)
Lineage: Eukaryota; Metazoa; Chordata; Mammalia; Perissodactyla; Equidae
Source: RefSeq, a predicted model, not a curated record
AUUGCAGAAAAAUUCACACUGCCACAUAAAUCAGACUAUUGAAUUUACUCUAGUUUAUCUCCUUUGAAACCAUCAGAAGAUGGAGAUUAUCACAGACUCACUAAACUAUGAAGGACAUUUGCAGGGUUUUUGGCUGCUGAGAGCCGCCCCACCUCCCUUUCCGUAGCAGCACUCCAAUUUCCUUCUAAGAAAUGACCUUUAUUUACCCUUCUCUGAGUUCACACAAUUUGAUUGAUAUGGAUCCACUCCAGUUUUAUGGGCAUGUUUCUCAGAUCUGGCGAAUUAUAGAUUUGCUUUCCCGUGGGCAGAGUGAGUGGUUCUGAAUGGUACAUGACUUGAUCAGGACCAAGAGACACAGUGGGAAUUUGGCUUUAACGUUUGGAAAGAAGAUGUUCCUUCCCACUAGACUCGAACUCAGGAGGAUGUAAAGCUGGACCAUGAUAUUCUUUCUUCCAGGACAGAAGACUACUCCAGGUAUAUUACAGGACACAGAACAAGAAGCCUGAAGGCGAAGGAGUGGGAGUUCACACUCGAAUCUGCACAAGGAGUUGCAGCUGGAGGAGAAGGCUGCCUGCCCCGAGCAGUGAAGUGACUUCAACAGAGGAACCUAGCCUCUACCUACCUACGAUCUGUCAAGGAGUAAUUCUGGGGGAAUAAAUGCCCCAACCUCAUUCUUCUCCUGUCCUCUCAUCUCCUGCUGUGGCUUCCCACUGGCCAAGACUAACUGGAGAGAAAGGGGUUGUACCAGAUGCUGUGAAAAAUGCAAAGAGGACUUAGACACAGCCCUCAAGGAGCUCACCAUCUCCUGGAAGAGACAGGCAGGCAUCUGCCAAUGACUGCGUUGGGACCUAAAAUCUAGAGAAGAGAUUGAUUCUGAAACUCUCCAGAAGGCUAGCUCAGCUAACCCUACUACUUAAACUAUCUUAGAUUGUUUACCUAAUCCUUCUGAGACUCAGUUUACUUAUCUAUAGAAUGAGAAUAUAAUGGGUUUAAGAAGAUUACACAAGACCACAUAUGCAAAGCACCCAGCAGAAGGUGGCCAAUACAAAUUAGGUUCUGUUUUCCUUCGUACUCAUCCCCAGCUGCUGUUCUUCCUGAAGAGCGCUCUUUAAUAAAUCACAUUUAUUGGCUGCUCCGAUUCCUGGUUCUAGAGAACCAGACCUAAGAUACUUAAUAAAGGACACAAGCUAGAAUAAUUCUCCUCAAAGCCUUUUGACCACAAGUCCUGCAGAAACUGGCUGAAUGUCUUUUUCUGUCUUGAGUCUACUCAGAACUCCUCCAUUCUGACAUGGCCCCAAGGAACUUGCUUGAUCACCAGGGAACUUUCACCCAGAAAAUCCAGUCUCACAUUUGUUUGAAGGACUGACCUUUGCAGGAAUGAUAUGUCUGUGCCCCUUCAUGAAUGCCAUCUUACCUCUACUCUUUCACAGUUUGUCAGGAAAGUGGAGGUUAUUUAGAGCCCUGGAAGAAGAUGUGAGAUUUCUCGAUGUGGAAUUGCCUAAUUUUGAAAUUGGUAGGCUUCUAGAAGCAAAUAUUUUCAGACUAAAACCAGUUGAUAUAUUUGCCUAGACUUUUCUUUCUUUUUUUCUUUGGUUUCUCAUAAAGCAGGUUCUGGAGGCUGGUAACUUGAAGGGGAAUAAAGACUUCUGUGAGAAAACA